UUUUAUGGAGAGUUUGAUCCUGGCUCAGAGUGAACGCUGGCGGCGUGCCUAAUACAUGCAAGUCGAACGAUGAAGCUUCUAGCUUGCUAGAAGUGGAUUAGUGGCGCACGGGUGAGUAAGAUAUAGUUAAUCUGCCCUACACAAGAGGACAACAGUUGGAAACGACUGCUAAUACUCUAUACUCCUGCUUAACACAAGUUGAGUAGGGAAAGUUUUUCGGUGUAGGAUGAGACUAUAUAGUAUCAGCUAGUUGGUAAGGUAAUGGCUUACCAAGGCUAUGACGCUUAACUGGUCUGAGAGGAUGAUCAGUCACACUGGAACUGAGACACGGUCCAGACUCCUACGGGAGGCAGCAGUAGGGAAUAUUGCGCAAUGGGGGAAACCCUGACGCAGC
RNAcentral lists this ribosomal RNA (394 nucleotides) under Campylobacter jejuni. RNAcentral describes it as "bacterial SSU rRNA". It matches the Rfam family "Bacterial small subunit ribosomal RNA", at positions 1 to 392 of the family's 1533-position model. The record is from RNAcentral. Lineage: Bacteria; Pseudomonadati; Campylobacterota; Epsilonproteobacteria; Campylobacterales; Campylobacteraceae.